Molecule: long non-coding RNA, 1644 nt
Organism: Dreissena polymorpha
Lineage: Eukaryota; Metazoa; Mollusca; Bivalvia; Myida; Dreissenidae
Exons: 2
Source: RefSeq, a predicted model, not a curated record
CGAAGGUCAAGUUCACAGUGACUCAAAAUAGUAAAAUGGUUUCCUGAUGAUAACUCAAGAAUAAUUAGGCCUAGGAUCAUGAAACUUCAUAGGUACAUUGAUCAUGACUGGCAGAUGACCACUAUUGAUUUUCAGGUCACUAGGUCAAAGGUCAAGGUCACAGUGACACAAAACGUAUUCACACAAUGGCUGCCACUACAACUGACAGUCCAUAUGGGGGGCAUGCAUGUUUUACAAACAGCCCUUGUUUCCUUUUUUGCAACUCUAGAAAUACUAGUAGCAAUUUUUAUGCCCCCCUUCAAAGAAGAGGGGGUAUAUUGUUUUGCACAUGUCUGUUGGUUGGUCCGUCGGUCCUUCCACCAGAUGGUUUCCGGAUGAUAUCUCAAGAACGCUUAGGCCUAGGAUCAUGAAACUUCAUAGUCACAUUGAUCAUGACUGGCAGAUGACCCCUAUAGAUUUUCAGGUCACUAGGUCAAAGGUCAAGGUCACAGUGACUUGAAACAGUAAAAUGGUUUCCAGAUGAUAACUCACGAAUGAAUACGCCUAGGGUCAUGAAAUUUCAUAGGUACAUUGAUCAUGACUGGUAGAUGACCCCUAUUCAUUUUUAGGUCACUCGGCCAAAGGUCAAGUUCACAGUGACUCGAAACAGUAAAAUGGUUUCCUGAUGAUAACUCAAGAAUAAUUAGGCCUAGGAUCAUGAAACUUCAUAGGGACAUUGAUCAUGACUGGCAGAUGACCCCUAAUGAUUUUCAGGUCACUAGGUCAAAGGACAAGUUCACAGUGACACAAAAUGUAUUCACACAAUGGCUGCCACUACAACUGACAGCCCAUAUGGGGGGCAUGCAUGUUUUACAAACAGCCCUUGUUUACUUUGUUGCAAUUCUAGAAAUACUAGUAGCAAUUUUUAUGCCCCCUUUGAAAAAGAGGGGGUAUAUUGUUUUGCACAUGUCGGUCGGUCCGUCCACCAGAUGGUUUCCGGAUGAUAACUCAAGAACGCUUAGGCCUAGGAUUAUGAUCAUGAAACUUCAUAGGUACAUUGAUCAUGACUGGCAAAUGACCCCUAUUAAUUUUCAGGUCACUAGGUCAAAUGUCAAGGUCACAGUGACUCAAAACAGUAAAAUGGUUUCUUGAUGAUAAAUCAAGAAUAAUUAGGCAUAGGAUCAUGAAACUUCAUAAGUACAUUUAUCAUCUUUGGCAGAUGACCGCUAUUGAUUUUCAGGUCACUAGGUCAAAGUUCAAGGUCACAGUGACAAAAACCGUAUUCACACAAUGGCUGCCACUACAACUGACAGCCCAUAUGGGGGGGGGCAUGCAUGUUUUACAAACAGCCCUUGUUUCCUACAUUGUAAUUGCUAAAAAAGGAUAAGGAGGGCUUAGCAAAUAUAAGUAAUGUGCUGGGCUAAUUGAAAAUGUACCGCUGUCAUUUCCUAUACUAAACUGAUGAAUCGGGAUCAUUUUAACUCUUGUUAAUAAAACAACCCAACUGAUAAGAAGUAUCCAAUAGUAUUAGUCUAAGAUGUCUAUAAUUUGGUUUUGAAUCGUUCCAUCAACGUUAUCCUGAUCAAAAAGGUUGAACUUAUUGAAAAGAGCAACAAGUUAAUACUGCGCAUCUAUUUAUAUUAGAAUUAUUAAAUUUUGCCUGUA